Molecule: long non-coding RNA, 1472 nt
Filed under: Gallus gallus (chicken)
Lineage: Eukaryota; Metazoa; Chordata; Aves; Galliformes; Phasianidae
Source: RNAcentral
GCAAUCGCGCCGCGGAGGUGGUUGAUUGGCAGGCCACAGAGCAAAUGAAGCGACAAAGGAUGAAGCUGAAGAGCCAAUGGAAGAGGGCGGGAGGCGGGGCGUUGCCUAUGCCGAGCCGUGGCGGCCCAGUAGCUGUUAGAGUGGAGUUUUUGUUGUUCUUGGGGGUGAUUGUUUUGGGAGUUGUAUGCGUGGCUGCGAGCUCUCCUGCUGGGCCCCGGGGGCAAUUCAGUGGCCUGGGGAAGGAGGAACUGUGCUCGGAGAGCACCUGCUCCGGCCUCUGCUUGCUCUGGAUCCCGUGUUUGGUUUCCUCGGAGCGGGGCACGUAGGAAGGCGAGGCCGAGCAGCCUGGAGCCUGCUGAGCUGCGGCUGUGCCUCGUGCAGGCGGGCUGAGGGGUGUAUGUACUGCUUACUGACAGAUCACAGGCCUGUGAGACGAGGAAUGCAGCAGACUGGAGUGAAAAUGUGGCAACAGCCUGUAAGCACUGCAGGCAGUAGUGCUUUACUCCAGUGCUGCAUGGUGUGCAGCUGAUAGAAGGGUCGCUGGUAACAGUGACAUAUAAAGUCACAGAGUGUUUGAUCUGUCUGGGGAGGGCAGCUGCUGCUGGGGGCAUGCAGGUAGUAGCACCAUGGGGUUGUUGGGGGAAAGGCGAAUAGGAACUGCUGAGUAAUAUUUGCAAGUCUUAAAAGUAGAUUGUGGUCUCUUUCUUGGCUUCUCAGAUAGUGAUUAACCUACAAAGUAUAUAAAGAAGUAUGGAAAUAGUUCACUUACAGCUUCUGAUUUUGUUUCUACGUAAAAAGUUUGAACAUAACGCGCACUUGGCUGAGGAGAAGUCCAUUAGAUAGCUUGGUCUCUUGGGGAGCCUGAUAGGGGCUAUGAGGAGGAAGGGGACAGACUCUAUCAGGGUCUGUAGUAACAGGACAUGGAGAAAUGAUUUCAAGCUAAAAGAGGGGAGAAUUAGAUUGAACAUAAGACUUUUUUUUUUUUUUUUUUUUUUUUUUUUUUUUUUUUUAAUACAGUAAGUGAGGUGAGGCACUGGAACAAGUUGUCCAGAGAGGUGGUUGAAUGAGCCACCUCCGGAGACAACUCUGCAUCUGGAGACAUCCAGGUGAGACUGGACCAGGCUCUGAGCAUCCUGAUCUAACUGUGGAUGUCCCUGUUCAUUGCAGGGAAGUUGGACUAAAUGACCUUUAAGGGUCUCUUCCAACUCAAAAGAUUCUAUGAUUUUGGUUUAGAAAGCAGAUUUGAAUUAGAAACACUUCUUUGUUCAGGGCACAAAGAGCUGUACUGGUGUAUAACAGUUUUGUGCAGUGAGACCCUACAUUCAAUGUGCAGACCACAAUAAAACAAUAGAUGACCUGCAGCUCAAGACUGAAGCAUUGUACAGUAUUCUUUUGUGGCUUUCUGUUCCUUGGCUUUCCCUUGGAGCUUUACUUUCUAGGAUUCAUCUGAGCCUUCUCUUCUUUAAGAUGAG